RNAcentral lists this unclassified non-coding RNA (172 nucleotides) under uncultured fungus. Its description in RNAcentral is "sequence contains ITS1". The record is from RNAcentral. Lineage: Eukaryota; Fungi.
CAAGAGGCCGAAAGGCUGCUUAAAACCAUCGCGAACUGUUCCAAGUUGCUUCGGCGGCGCGGGGCCCCUCACAGGGCGCCGCAGCCCGGCCUCUCCGGAGGUGGGCGCCCGCCGGAGGUACGAAACUCUCCUGUAUUCCAGCGGCAUCUCUGAGUAUAAAGCAAAUAAGUCA